RNAcentral lists this long non-coding RNA (533 nucleotides) under Homo sapiens (human). RNAcentral's name for it is "HSALNT0316680". Lineage: Eukaryota; Metazoa; Chordata; Mammalia; Primates; Hominidae. The record is from RNAcentral.
GUCAUGAUAGUGAGUGAGUUCUCACGAGAUCUGAUGGUUUUAUAAGGGGCUUUCUGCUUUGCUUGACACUCAUUCUCUCUCCUGCCAUCCUGUGAAGAGGUGCCUUCCACUGUGCUUAUAAGUUUCCUAAGGCCUCCCACCCCCAGCCAUGUGGAACUGUCCGGUGGAGAUGGUGGUGGUGAGAUGCAGGGAGAUGGAGAGAAAAAUGGGAGCACCACCUUUCUUUACAAAGCCAAAAGCUACAUCCCCAUUGACCUAGAUGUCAUAAGAGUUUUUUUUCCCCAAAGGGCACCAUGAUGGAGAAUCGGCUUUCCCAAGGACACACAUACCUUUGUCACACCAAGCACCACCUUGUCCUCAGACUGUUCUUGUACUGGCUUUGUUUACAAGCCAGAUUUUUUUUAAAAUGAGAAAAAUCAAAUGUUCACUUAAGAAGUGAAAUUUGAAUAAAAUUACAGUUUCAGGCAAAGCCUAUAUUAUUUUUAAAAUCAGCGAAUAAAGCAAGGGAUAUUAAAUCAUGAUCUUCACCUGAA